GACGAACGCUGGCGGCGUGCUUAACACAUGCAAGUCGAACGGAAAGGCCCUGCUUUUGUGGGGUGCUCGAGUGGCGAACGGGUGAGUAACACGUGAGUAACCUGCCCUUGACUUUGGGAUAACUUCAGGAAACUGGGGCUAAUACCGGAUAGGAGCUCCUGCUGCAUGGUGGGGGUUGGAAAGUUUCGGCGGUUGGGGAUGGACUCGCGGCUUAUCAGCUUGUUGGUGGGGUAGUGGCUUACCAAGGCUUUGACGGGUAGCCGGCCUGAGAGGGUGACCGGCCACAUUGGGACUGCGAUACGGCCCAGACUCCUACGGGAGGCAGCAGUGGGGAAUAUUGCACAAUGGGCGGAAGCCUGAGGCAGCAACGCCGCGUGCGGGAUGACGGCCUUCGGGUUGUAAACCGCUUUCGCCUGUGACGAAGCGUGAUUGACGGUAAUGGGUAAAGAAGCACCGGCUAACUACGUG
RNAcentral lists this ribosomal RNA (468 nucleotides) under uncultured bacterium. RNAcentral's name for it is "partial 16S ribosomal RNA". It matches the Rfam family "Bacterial small subunit ribosomal RNA", at positions 28 to 507 of the family's 1533-position model. The record is from RNAcentral.